GGGAAACCCACAUCUUUCCUCUGGACUUCUGUUCCCAACCAUAAGAGAAGAGGCUUGAAGCUGGAUUUGGUACCCGAGCACUAAUUUGCCAACCACUACUAGAUCAGCAUUAUGAAGUGCAUGAGGAAGCCGGCCAUACUGCAUGCCAACUCUCUGGUUUCAUGACUCAUUAUUUCAAAGGAUAAAGCAAAAGGAGAAAAAGUUGUGCUAUUGACAUGUCCUCACCACUUGGAAGACUUUCACAGAAUAAUAAACCUUAUCAUCAUCUCCUUCUUGACAUAAAUGGCCAAUUUUCAAAGCCCAUCAAUCAGUGUGACCUUUUGUGCAUUGGCAAACUUCUGUACACACUGCAACUUCAUUUUUAGCCCAGAAAGGAUAAUGUUUAACAACUCUUUCCUGUAUAAGCAAAUUGAGCAACUCCAAGUCAAUGACUUCUGAAUAAUUGGAGCAGGGUUCCUGUGUUUUCAUAACUGACCCAUGAUAAAUUCAACAGGAACGGUCACAUAAAUAGCAGACCCCUUGCACUAAGGAUGUUAGGAGUGAGAGCUCUCACUGAAAAUUUGACCAUAUUAUGCAAUUUUUUAACCUACUGAAUGAAUAAUUCCAUGACACAGGCAAACAAUGCUAUUUCUGAAAAAUGCUUCAGAGAACUCUUAAAUCUCUAAUAAAUUUUAAGCUCUUUUUAAAAUCAAUUUUCAUUAUUUUUAUUAGAAAAGUUAAUUUCCCCACUUUAUAUAUUUAAAUAAAAAUGGAAAUAAGAAAU
Molecule: long non-coding RNA, 763 nt
Filed under: Homo sapiens (human)
Lineage: Eukaryota; Metazoa; Chordata; Mammalia; Primates; Hominidae
Description: HSALNT0330771
Source: RNAcentral